AACAACAUUGGCGAGCCAAUCGGGAUAUGUAGCUUCCCUGAUGAAGCCCGCCUCGAGUAGCUUGUCCACCUCUUCGUCGAUGGCCUCCUGUCUUUCAGGAGCAAAAGACCUUUUCUUCUGCCUCACCGGCCUCAUCGUCGGGUCGAUGUUGAGUCGGUGCGUUAUUGUCUCCGGGGGAAUGCCCGACAUAUCUGCUGCCGACCAAGCAAAUAUGUCGGCAUUGGCCUUCAGCAGCUCCGCCAACCGUCGUCGUUCUGGGUCGGGUAGCUGAGACCCGACCCAUACCUGUCGGUCGGGGUUCUCCGCUAUCGAGAUGGGAACGAGCUGUUC
Molecule: long non-coding RNA, 330 nt
Filed under: Elaeis guineensis (African oil palm)
Lineage: Eukaryota; Viridiplantae; Streptophyta; Magnoliopsida; Arecales; Arecaceae
Description: long non-coding RNA (EGUI_LNC056856)
Source: RNAcentral